CCUACGGGCGUCAGCAGUGAGGAAUAUUGGUCAAUGGUCGGGAGACUGAACCAGCCAAGCCGCGUGAGGGAGGAAGGUACAGAGUAUCGUAAACCUCUUUUGUCAGGGAACAAAGACUGGGACGCGUCCCCGGAUGAGUGUACCUGAAGAAAAAGCAUCGGCUAACGCAGUGCCAGCAGCCGCGGUAAUACGGAGGAUGCGAGCGUUAUCCGGAUUUAUUGGGUUUAAAGGGUGCGCAGGCGGUCUGUUAAGUCAGCGGCCAAAGCCCGGGGCUCACCCCCGGCCCGCCGUUGAAACUGGCAGUCGCGAGUUGGAGAGAAGUAUGCGGAAGGCGCGGUGUAGCGGUGAAACGCAUAGAUAUCGCGCAGAACUCCGAUUGCGAAGGCAGCAUGCCGGCUCCACACUGACGCUGAGGCACGAAAGCGUGGGUAUCGAACAGGAUUAGAUACCCCAGUAGUC
Molecule: ribosomal RNA, 459 nt
Filed under: uncultured bacterium
Lineage: Bacteria
Description: partial 16S ribosomal RNA
Rfam family: Bacterial small subunit ribosomal RNA
Source: RNAcentral